RNAcentral lists this non-coding RNA (105 nucleotides) under Kineosphaera limosa. RNAcentral's name for it is "TPP sequence". It matches the Rfam family "TPP riboswitch aptamer (THI element)". Rfam says of the family: Vitamin B(1) in its active form thiamin pyrophosphate (TPP) is an essential coenzyme that is synthesised by coupling of pyrimidine and thiazole moieties in bacteria. The previously detected thiamin-regulatory element, thi box was extended, resulting in a new, highly conserved RNA secondary structure, the THI element, which is widely distributed in eubacteria and also occurs in some archaea. The record is from RNAcentral. RNAcentral also lists the same sequence under 1 other name. Lineage: Bacteria; Bacillati; Actinomycetota; Actinomycetes; Micrococcales; Dermatophilaceae.
GGCACACGACAGGGGAGCGCACCAAUGCGCUGAGAGUGCGGGCGACCGCAGACCCUCGAACCUGAUCCGGUUAACACCGGCGUAGGGAGUCGGGCCUUCUCAGGU